AGGAAUUGACGGAAGGGCACCACCAGGAGUGGAGCCUGCGGCUUAAUUUGACUCAACACGGGAAAACUUACCUGGCCCGGACACUGGAAGGAUUGACAGAUUAAGAGCUCUUUCUUGAUUCAGUGGGUGGUGGUGCAUGGCCGUUCUUAGUUGGUGGAGCGAUUUGUCUGGUUAAUUCCGAUAACGAACGAGACUCUAGCCUACUAAAUAGGGGACCGAUCAAUUGUUGUCGGUCCGUCUUCUUAGAGGGACAAGCGGCUUUUAGCCGCACGAGACAGAGCAAUAACAGGUCUGUGAUGCCCUUAGAUGUCCGGGGCCGCACGCGCGCUACACUGAAGGAAGCAGCGUGCUCAUCGCUGUCCGGCAGGACUGCGUAACCCCUAUAACCUCCUUCGUGAUAGGGAUAGGGGCUUGUAAUUGUUCCCCUUGAACGAGGAAUUCCCAGUAAGCGCGAGUCAUAAGCUCGUGUUGAUUACGUCCCUGCCCUUUGUACACACCGCCCGUCGCUACUACCGAUUGAAUGAUUUAGUGAGGUCUUCGGACUGGCGCUCGGAGCGACCUUCGGGUUGCGCCGGCGUGCCGGAAAGAUGACCAAACUUGAUCAUUUAGAGGAAGUAAAAGUCGUAACAAGGUUUCC
RNAcentral lists this ribosomal RNA (637 nucleotides) under Draculoides sp. SCH012. Its description in RNAcentral is "SSU rRNA". It matches the Rfam family "Eukaryotic small subunit ribosomal RNA", at positions 1148 to 1804 of the family's 1831-position model. The record is from RNAcentral. Lineage: Eukaryota; Metazoa; Arthropoda; Arachnida; Schizomida; Hubbardiidae.